AGGCUGUCCACAAGGUUGCGGAGUGUUUUUUCGACCAUUAUUCCAAAAGUGCAUGGGUGGGAUCACACAUGUUGGACAAAAAGGCCUGUCUCACAAUCUCCGUUCUAAUUCACCCCAAAUGUGUUCAGGUCAGGACUCUGUGCAGGCCAGUCAAGUUCAUCCACACCAGACUCUGUCAUUCAUGUCUUUAUGGACCUUGCUUUGUGCACUGGUGCACAGUCAUGUUGGAAGAGGAAAUGGCCUCUUUCAAACUCUUCCCACAAACUCUUCUCACUAAAAAUCUAUUACAGCUUCAACUUAUUCUGGGAAGGCUGUCCACAAGGUUGCGGAGUGUUUUUUUUCGACUAUUCUUCCAAAAGUGCAUUGGUGAGGUCACACAUGUUGCGACCAUUCUUCCAAAAGUGCAUUGGUCAGGACUCUGUGCAGGCCAGUCAAGUUCAUCCACACCAGACUCUGUCAUUCAUGUCUUUAUGGACCUUGCUUUGUGCACCGGUGCACAGUCAUGUUGGAAGAGGAAAUGUCCUGUUUCAAACUCUUCCCACAUGGUUGGGAGCAUUGAAUUGUCCAAAAUAUUUUGGCAUUCAAAGUUUAUUUCACUGGAAUAAACUGAAAAACAACGGCAAUCCAAUCCAAUCCAAUCCACUUUAUUUAUAUAGCACAUUUAAACAACAAUAAUGUUUCCAAAGUGCUGCACAGCCAUGUUAAAAACAAUAUUAUGCUCCACCAAUGACUGAACAAAACAAAAAAUGAAUAAAAA
Nerophis ophidion (straightnose pipefish) is the source of this 757-nucleotide long non-coding RNA. RefSeq lists it as uncharacterized. The record is from RefSeq and is a predicted model, not a curated record. The transcript is spliced from 3 exons. Lineage: Eukaryota; Metazoa; Chordata; Actinopteri; Syngnathiformes; Syngnathidae.